UCAAAAUGGGAUAACACUUGGAAACAGGUGCUAAUACCGUAUAACAAUCGAAACCGCAAGGUUUUGAUUUGAAAGGCGCUUUCGGGUGUCGCUGAUGGAUGGACCCGCGGUGCAUUAGCUAGUUGGUGAGGUAACGGCUCACCAAGGCCACGAUGCAUAGCCGACCUGAGAGGGUGAUCGGCCACAUUGGGACUGAGACACGGCCCAAACUCCUACGGGAGGCAGCAGUAGGGAAUCUUCGGCAAUGGACGAAAGUCUGACCGAGCAACGCCGCGUGAGUGAAGAAGGUUUUCGGAUCGUAAAACUCUGUUGUUAGAGAAGAACAAGGAUGAGAGUAACUGUUCAUCCCUUGACGGUAUCUAACCAGAAAGCCACGGCUAACUACGUGCCAGCAGCCGCGGUAAUACGUAGGUGGCAAGCGUUGUCCGGAUUUAUUGGGCGUAAAGCGAGCGCAGGCGGUUUCUUAAGUCUGAUGUGAAAGCCCCCGGCUCAACCGGGGAGGGUCAUUGGAAACUGGGAGACUUGAGUGCAGAAGAGGAGAGUGGAAUUCCAUGUGUAGCGGUGAAAUGCGUAGAUAUAUGGAGGAACACCAGUGGCGAAGGCGGCUCUCUGGUCUGUAACUGACGCUGAGGCUCGAAAGCGUGGGGAGCAAACAGGAUUAGAUACCCUGGUAGUCCACGCCGUAAACGAUGAGUGCUAAGUGUUGGAGGGUUUCCGCCCUUCAGUGCUGCAGCUAACGCAUUAAGCACUCCGCCUGGGGAGUACGACCGCAAGGUUGAAACUCAAAGGAAUUGACGGGGGCCCGCACAAGCGGUGGAGCAUGUGGUUUAAUUCGAAGCAACGCGAAGAACCUUACCAGGUCUUGACAUCCUUUGACCACUCUAGAGAUAGAGCUUCCCCUUCGGGGGCAAAGUGACAGGUGGUGCAUGGUUGUCGUCAGCUCGUGUCGUGAGAUGUUGGGUUAAGUCCCGCAACGAGCGCAACCCUUAUUGUUAGUUGCCAUCAUUCAGUUGGGCACUCUAACAAGACUGCCGGUGACAAACCGGA
RNAcentral lists this ribosomal RNA (1047 nucleotides) under Enterococcus faecium. RNAcentral's name for it is "bacterial SSU rRNA". It matches the Rfam family "Bacterial small subunit ribosomal RNA", at positions 133 to 1167 of the family's 1533-position model. Lineage: Bacteria; Bacillati; Bacillota; Bacilli; Lactobacillales; Enterococcaceae. The record is from RNAcentral.